CGGAGGAUCCAAGCGUUAUCCGGAAUCAUUGGGUUUAAAGGGUCCGUAGGCGGUUUGAUAAGUCAGUGGUGAAAGCCCAUCGCUCAACGAUGGAACGGCCAUUGAUACUGUCAGACUUGAAUUACUGGGAAGUAACUAGAAUAUGUAGUGUAGCGGUGAAAUGCUUAGAUAUUACAUGGAAUACCAAUUGCGAAGGCAGGUUACUACCAGUGGAUUGACGCUGAUGGACGAAAGCGUGGGGAGCGAACAGGAUUAGAUACCCUGGUAGUCCACGCCGUAAACGAUGGAUACUAGCUGUUGGGCGCAAGUUCAGUGGCUAAGCGAAAGUGAUAAGUAUCCCACCUGGGGAGUACGUUCGCAAGACUG
RNAcentral lists this ribosomal RNA (366 nucleotides) under uncultured organism. RNAcentral's name for it is "bacterial SSU rRNA". It matches the Rfam family "Bacterial small subunit ribosomal RNA", at positions 526 to 896 of the family's 1533-position model. The record is from RNAcentral.